CGAGAAGCUUCGCACUCCUGAAGUCGCACUUGAGGUAGCUAUACAGGUUGGGCAGCAAGUACAUGUUGUGGGGUGCAUCAAACUUGAACACUAGCCAAGAAAAUAAAAUUAGUUAAGCAUAGGUUAUUCAGUUUUCUGGUUCAGAGUGAAAUCGACAUCGAUUCUUGAAGAAAGGAAUCUUGAAAGGAUUCUUGAUUUCAUUCCCAAUUCACAAACGAUGUCACCUUCCCUCCUAGAUCUUUUGUUUAUCUUAUAUUAUCUCUUAUUCAAAGUAAGCUUGAGGAUCACACUCACCAUCACGUUGUGUAGUCUUAGCCGGCGUACAUGGCUGUGUUGAUUAUGCACAUGUUCAUGAGAUUUUAUUCAAGUCGAAGGUUCUAAUAUCCUAUACCAUUGACUCUCUAUCUAGACAAUCGGCGUAUGUUGGAACUAUCAGUGACUACUUAUCCCGUCUGAAUGAUGAACAAUUUUUCAUUAAACCUUUUCAACCAUGGGCAUUCCACUAUGCAAACUCCAGCAGCAUCAGAAGAAGCAAAACUUCCAAGGCUAAAACUAAAAGUUAGUCGGUUACCCUCAACAAGUUUAUCGUUGAUGUGGAAGGGACUGUUUUUAAGAGCCCAGUUUGUGUAGUUGUAGCCGAAACGCCAGUUCUCAGAUCCACCAACAACAAUAGUUCUGGCCUCAGUCAUCGCCAUGGUUGUGGCUAUCACCAUCAACACAAUUCCUGCAUACCUCAGUCUUGCCAUUUCGCUAGUAUAUUCUCGAAAGAUCUCGGCAGUUCAAAUGAGUUCCUAGGUUCAUCGGUGGGGGUUUUAUAUAACCAAUUUCUAGCUAGAAUAGUUGGAGCACUAUUUUUUAAUCUCGGUUGGCAAAAGAGAAAUAAAAAAAGAUUGGAUUUAAGAAUGAAGAGAAGACGUUUUGUCCAAGAUUUUGAAUCAGUAAAUUCAUACAACAUGCUUCUAGAUUGCUGCUUUAGUUCCUAAAAUUCUUUUAUCAUUUGCCACUUAGAGCCAUCCCACACCUCAUUUGCAAUCAUUUUGUUGAAGACUGUCAACUAAGGAAAAUGGGUAGCAUUUGAAUUUAGUGGUUUGAAUGAGUCCGUGCGGCUUCUUCGUUUGAGUCCCUUCAGAUGGAGCUUUUUAUGGUCAACCUUUGCUACUAUUUCUUCUUAGUCAAAAUAUUCAAGUCUUCCUUGGCUGGUUUGAAACCUCCACUAAAGAGGAGUGACGUUUCUCAUGGUUAAAUUUUCACUGCAUUCUCGAAGAGUUAUUUCAACUAGCUGAUGAUGAUUGGAUAAUGUUCCUUGUUAAGAUAAUUUUUGGAUUUCUAUUUUCUACACUAAUUAAAACAUUUUGACAAAAAUGAGUUUUACUCUUCAACUUUUAGUAUGAGUAAAAUGCCAAGUCAACUUUAUUUUUGAGUAUUUGUAUCAAUUGAUAAGAGAUAUCUCUUUGGAAUAAAAUAAAUCAUGAAGUCAUUAGUCAACAUUGAGGACGCCUUUGUUUGGACUGAUAGAAAAGCAAAAAGUGCUCUCAUAUUAUUCAACUUUCAGAAAAUAAUUUUAAAAAAAACAAUUAUAUGUGAAUUUACCUGUCAAUAUUUGUGUGAGAUAAGUUUUGUUGAUCAUAUUGUACACAUAAAAUCUUGGAUUUGACUAUUGCAACUUGGGGCAAAUAAUGAGUGAUUACACUUAGUGUAUGAUAGGUCUUACUUUCUCACUCAAUCACUUUUUCAAUAUUUCUCUCAAGAUCACAGAUUGUAGUCCAAGAAAGACAAGUAUGUAGGAUCGAGAUUCUCUCAGACUUUGGAAUGCUUGAUUCUGGACUUUGUCUCUUUCAUUCUCCUUAGUGCAUUGGUCUCCUUUUAUACUCUUUCACUCUCAAUCUAGCCGCUAGACAAUCUUUAGAUGAUUAUCUUCCAAUCUAUUCAUUGGACAAAUUUGUAUCAAGAAGAUUGACUAGUCAUUGAGUGAUAAAAUCUGAAUUUACAUUUGAUUUUAAUCGCCCAUACAACCAAAAUUUUGGUUUCCAAAAGUACAGGGCUCCACUUAUAGAAGUAACUUGUUUCAAGAUUAAUUUGUCAAUCAAUUAAGAUCUUUUCCAUUACAAAGUUGGUUUGCAAAACAAUCUUUAAGAUUGAGUCAAUCUAUUCUUUCUAAAUGUGAAAUCCUAGCCAGAUCACUGGGUGUUAUAUACGUUAUGAAGUUGUGUUCGAAUGGGACCAUAAGUAGUUCUCUUAGUCUGAAAAAUUUCAUUAUCAAUAUAAAGCAUGAAUCUAUUGCACUUGAAGUAGAUUUCACAAUCUAGACUUGAGCUCAAACAAGAUCAAGAUUGUUAUAAACUUCUCUUCCAAGAUCAAUUCCCUAAAUCAAAAAUACGUCGUAACAUCCAUUAGACUAACGAGACAUACAUGAAUAGUUUUGUCAACUUCAAAAUUUAUUAGGGAAUUUUCUCAACAACAUGUGCAUCUCAACAUCUCGAUGGUCUCAUGCUCCUUGACUAGUGAAGGUAACACCUACCAGCAACUAAAAGAGGUUUUUUUCCUUGGUCAAAGGAACAUUUCAUUCAUUUCCAUCGAUAUACAAUAGAGAAACACAGUUCAACUACGAACCAAGACAAAUCCUAGACAAAUACAAAACAAAACAAACUCCAGAUAAGAAGACAAAAUUUCAUAAUAAGGUUAGAGGUCACAUGCUUAAAGAGUAAAUCAUCGACUUCUUCAAAUCAAAAUUGGCGACUGAUCGCCGAAUCUGUCUUUAGUAAUGAGCACACACUGAGGUCUCCAUAUGUUGCUCCAACUUUACUUUAUCAGCAAUAUGCGCCUAAGUUCAACAUCCCCAACACCAUCGUUCAAAAUAACAAGGUUGAACAUGUUGGAGAAAUCCUCCUGAAGUGUUUUGAAGUUGACAAAACGUUUCCAUCAGUCUAGUCUGAAGGCUUGCAGACUCUGCUAUUUAAAGUCUGAAGACCUUCGGACAGCCAGACUCAAGACUCAAAGUCUAUCCUCAUUGACAGUUUCUAAUCCGUUGAAGAAAGGCUAUCCAGAACUGGAUGUUUCAUUAAGGAUGUGACCUUAUCGAUUGGAGAAGAUCUCUUGGCUGGAUAUGACAUAACGGAAUCCUUUAUUUUGAUCAUAAUUGAUUUGAAGAUUAAGGAUCCGAUGAUUGGCAAAGUAUACUUGGAAGGUUCUACUUAUGGAAACCGAGAUCCUAAUUGUAUGGGCGAACAGGAUUGAUGGCUAUCGACAUGUUCCUUUAAUAGCUCGAAUGAUCUUCCUAAUUGAUUCCGUCCAACGGGUAGAUUGGAGGAAUUCCUUUGGUAAGUGCCAACAGGUAUGAUGGCAUGAAGGAGUAUAUAAGGAAGACGUUCCAGUUGUUCGAGAAGGUACACGAUAGAAGAAUUCCAAAGUUUGAAGCUCCUUGUUCUCAGUCAAUUCAUUUGUUGAGAUAAAUCGUGUAAACAAAAGAGAGUCCAUAUUCGUGAGAAACCUUGAGGAAGUGUGGUAAAAUAUCUACACUGUGGAAUCAAGGAAAAGUUGUGCUGUAACUUCUCUUUUGUUCAUAGUAAAAUCCAGCCGGUGGGCUAUCAGUGCGGAAGAGUGGACGUAGGCUUGGAAUAAGCCGAACCACUAUAAAUCUUGUGUUCAUUUCUCUCUUCCCUAUCCUUUACUUUACUUUGAUCGUAUUUUUCUUUCUAUCAUUUGCCUAGAAUUGCUUCCGUAUCUCAAGAAUUUGUUUGUGCACCUAUUCACCCCCUCUAGGUGAUUAUACUAGCUAUCUCAAUUAGUAUCAGAGCCUGUGUACUCACUUUUGUUGAAGUGUUUUACUUCAGAGUUAAAGAUCAAUGGCUAGUAUGUUGGCUCCAGGACUGGUAGAAGGGCAAAGCAAUACCAGACCACCUUACUUUGAUGGAAAUGAUUACAACAUAUGGAAAAACAAGAUGAAAGCAUUCCUAAGAUCAAAGGAUCCUCUGGAAUGGGACGUUGUAGAAAAAGGAAUCAUUCCUAAAGCUGCAUCUGUCUCAGAAAGAGGAAAAGAUGCUGUUAAGUCUAGCGAAAUGACUCAGGAAGAGAUAAUCAAGAGACAAGCUCUUGAUACAAAAGCAAUUUAUUCCUUAUAUUGUGCUUUAUCCCCUACUGAAUAUAACAGAAUAUCUUCUUGUGUUACAGCUAAAGAAGUCUGGGAUAGAUUACAUAUUACCUAUGAAGGAACCGAUCGAGUAAAAGAAACCAGAAUCAACAUUCUCCUCGGACAAUAUGAAGCCUUCAAAAUGAAACCAGGAGAAUCUAUAACUGAUAUGUUUAGUCAUUUUACAGAAGUCGUGAAUGGUCUUGAAAAUCAAGGUCAACCAAUUUCUGAUCCCAUGAAAGUAAACAAGCUACUGCGUGGACUUUCCAAGAAUUGGAAUCACAUAAAGACCUCAAUCAGAGAGACCCAAAGAAUCAUACCACUAUCUGUUGAUAAGUUGGUUGGAACUCUUCAGUCUUAUGAAGUGGAGCGAAUCAAUGAAGACGAAGACCUUAAAGGUAAGAAAUCCAUUGCAUUAAAAUCUAAUGAUGAUUCUGAUGUUACAGAUUCUGAAGACGAUAUGGAUGAUGAGGAACUUGCUCUCAUGAUAAGAAGAUUCAGAAAGCUGAACAAAAAAGGAAGAAGAUUCAAUCCAAAAAAACACAAAGUUUUCAAAAGCAACAGACUAAGUCUGUUGAGGAUGAUGAAUCAAACAAAGAUGUAGUCUGCUUUUAAUGUAAGAAAAAGGGACACAUCAGACCCAACUGUCCUCUUCUGAGGAAGAAGAAAGGAAAAACUGAAAAGUACCGAAAAGCUCUUAAAGCUGAAACCUGGAGUGAUACAGAGUGUGAAGAAAGUGAUGAUGAUUAUGCCAAUAUAUGUCUGAUGGCACAAUCGGAUUCAGAUUCAAAUUCCGAGACAGAUUCAGACUCAGAAAGCGAAUUUGAGGUAAGUAACUUCAAAAUCCCUAUUAAGGUUUCAAAGUAUAUUGAUGAAUUGUGUUUCAGUCUUAAGACUUCUCUUAAAAGAAUUUCCGAACUCAAGAAAGAAAAUUCUGCUCUAAAACAACAGGAAAAUAUUUUGAAAAAAAAAGUGAAAAGUUUAGACAAAAAUGUUUCUUCUCGUAAAGAAAGUGAAGAUAAUUUGUUAAAAGAAAAUGCAUUCCUGAAAAGAGAUAUCUCAAAUAUUUCCAAAAGAUUUUCUAUAGGAUCUGAGAAACUGGAAAAAAAUCUCUCUGUUCAAAGACCUUAUUUUAAUAAAUCUGGUUUGGGAAUGACUGUUGAAACCAUUCAUUUAAUUGAUUUUCCUAAAGUGAAGGAAAGAAUCAAACAAAGACCCACAAGAGAUGCUUACAAAAAUCAUUUUAAAAGGAUCUUUGUAAAACCAGUAGGUCGCAAUGCUCUUAGAUGCUCAAAGUGCAAUAGUGCAGAACAUUUUGAAAAAGAAUGUCCAGUGAUUUGGAAACCUAUUAAAAAAGUAUGGGCAAAAACCGCAUAUCAUACUAACACCAAUGGACCCAAGAAAAUAUGGGUACCAAAGAAGGUUUGAGUUUCUUUUUUAAAUGCAGGUCACUAUAAAAAAAAAUGUAAAAUGGUAUCUGGAUAGUGGAUGCUCAAGACACAUGACAAGAGACUCAAAUUACUUCAUAAAGCUUGUUCAAGUAAAUGGUGGAAAAGUUUCUUUUGGAGGAAACAGCAAAGGAAAAAUUGUGGGAUUUGGAACUAUAAAGAUUGGAAAUCUCUCAAUCAGCAAUGUUUCCUUAGUGGAAGGGCUCAAUUACAAUUUGCUCAGUAUUAGUCAGCUAUGUGACACUGGUUUCAAAAUCAACUUUCAAGAGGGAAUAUGUUCUGGAAUUAGUAAAGAUUCUACUCAGUCAUUCAUGGGUCGAAGACAUGGAAAUAUCUACCUCUUGGAUGUGAAACUAGAUGAAUCACAAUGCCUAAUCUCAAUCCAAGACGAAGCAAACCUAUGGCACAGAAAGCUUGGGCACGUCAAUAUGAAGCAAAUAGCCAAAAUCUCAGCAAAGAAGCUUGUUCGUGGUCUACCCAAUUUAUCAUAUCAAAAGUCUGAUCUAUGUACACCAUGUAUAUUGGGAAAACAGGUAAGAAAUUCCUUUAAACCAAUAAAUCAAGUUUCCACUAACCGUGUACUGCAGCUUCUGCAUAUGGAUCUUUUUAGACCAACCAGAACACAAAGCAUUGGAGGUAAGAAAUACUGCCUAGUAAUUGUGGAUGAUUACUUACGAUUUACUUGGGUAUAUUUCUUGGCAAGUAAGUCUGAAACUUUCUCUUACUUUGAAAAGUUUGCUAAAAAGGUUCAAAAUGAAAAAUGGUAUGUUAUCUCAAGUAUAAGAACAGAUCAUGGAGGUGAAUUUGAAAAUCAUGAUUUUACAAAAUUCUGUGAUGAAUCUGGUUUCCAGCGUGUAUUCUCCUCUCCAUAUACUCCAGAGCAAAAUGGAGUUGUGGAAAGAAAGAAUAGAUCUCUUCAAGAAAUGGCUAGAAUUCUUUUAAUUAAAAGUAACAUAUCUUCACAUUUUUGAGCUGAAGCAGUUUCUACAGCAUGUUACAUUAUAAAUAGAGUUUUUCUAAGGCAUGUUAUGGAAAAAAAAAAACCCUAUGAACUAUUCAAAGAAAAGAAGCCUAUUGUUUCAUAUUUUCAUGUAUUUGGAUGCAAAUGUUUUAUACUGAAAAAUGCAAAUGAUCGAGUUGGUAAGUUUGAAGAAAAGUCAGAUGAAUGCAUCUUUCUUGGAUAUUCAACCACAAGCAAAGCGUACAGAGUCUACAACAAGAAGACUCAAAUAGUGGAAGAAUCAAUGAAUGUUAAAUUCCAAGACUUUAUGCAAAAUGAAUCCAUUUAGACUCAUCUUGAAGAAUCUGAACCUGCUCCAGACUCUACAAAGUCUAAAAUAGCUUAGACUUUGAAGGACCAGCAACAAGUGACUGUUGAAGAUUCAAGUGAAGGAAGUGACCAUCAAUCUGACAAAUUAACUAGCAACUGGAAACAUAAGUCCAGUCAUCCCAAAGAUCUUAUUAUUGGCAACAUCAAUGAAGGAAUUCGCACAAGAUCCAAAAGGCGCGAAGAGUCUAGUGCUGUGGCUCUUAUUUCUGAAAUAGAACCUAAAAGCAUAGAAGAAGCUUUAUCUGAUGAAAGCUGGAUUGAAGCUAUGCAAGAAGAGCUCAGGCAAUUCAGUAUUAAUGAUGUCUGGGAAUUGACUCCUAAACCGAAAGGUAAGUCUGUUAUUGGAGCUAAAUGGGUUUUCAGGAACAACAUGAACGAGAAGGAAAAGUCAUAAGAAACAAGGCAAGACUCGUGGCCAAGGGAUACACACAAGAAGAAGGGAUAGAUUAUGACGAGACUUACACACCAGUAGCAAGGUUAGAAGCAAUUCGAUUAUUACUUGCUUUUGCUUGUUAUAAGAAUUUCAUGUUAUUCCAAAUAGAUGUCAAAAGUGCCUUCCUAAAUGGAUGUAUCCAUGAGGAAGUCUAUGUGGAACAACCACCUGGGUUUGAAGACCCAAGGAAACCAAACUCAGUAUUCAGACUCAAAAAGGCUCUAUAUGGCUUAAAACAAGCACCUCGAGCUUGGUACGACAGACUGAGUAAGUUUUUAAUUGAAAAUGGAUUUGUUAAAGGUAAAGUAGAAACUACUCUUUUCAUUAAAAGAGAAAGCAAGAGUUUUCUACUUGUUCAAAUAUAUGUCGAUGACAUUAUUUUUGGAUCAUCUAAUGAAAGUCCGUGCAAGAAAUUCUCUAAGACUAUGCAGGAUGAAUUUGAAAUGAGCAUGAUGGGUGAGUUAACCUUCUUUCUUGGACUUCAAGUAAAACAAUUGAAGGAAGGAACUUUUAUUCAUCAAGAAAAAUAUGCUAAUGAUAUUGUGAAGAAAUUUGGACUGGACAAUUGCAAAAAGGCCGACAUACCAAUGUCAAGCUCCGUGAAAAUAGAUAAAGAUGAAGGAGGAAAGAAAGUCGACCAAAAGUUAUACAGGAGUAUCAUCGGAUCACUUUUUUAUCUUACUGCUUCUAAACCUGAUAUUUUGUUUAGUAUUUGCAUUUAUGCCAGAUUUCAAGCAGACCCUAAAGAAUCACAUCUAAAUGCUGCAAAGCAUAUUAUCAAAUAUAUUGCAUCAACUUCAAGCUUCGGUCUCUAGUAUCCUAAAAGGGGAGACUUUACUCUUCUUGGGUACUCAGACGCAGACUUAGCCGAAUGCAGAGUUGAUAGAAAGAGCACCUCAGGUACCUGUCAACUACUUGGAGGCAGGACAGUGUCUUGGUUUUCAAGAAAGCAAAGUACAGUAGCUCUCUCUACAACAGAAGCAGAAUAUGUAGCUCUUGGAAGUUGCUGUUCAUAAAUCCUGUGGAUAAAACAACAGCUAAGAGACUUCGGAAUUGAAGAUUCAUGCACGGAGAUUAAAUGUGACAACACCAGUGCAAUCAAUCUCACCAAAAAUCCAAUUCUUCACUCAAGAGCAAAGCAUAUAGAGAUUCGACAUCACUUCAUUAGAGAUCAUGUUCAAAAUGAAGAAAUUACGAUUCAGUUUGUUGACUCAAAGAACCAAUUGGCGGAUAUAUUUACAAAGCCCUUGGAGAAAAAUCAAUUUGAAAUUAUCCGUUCCAGUCUCAACAUUUUAAGAUUUGAAGAAGUUAAAGUCUAGAGACUCUCAGACUCAGACAAAUAAGACUUUAACUGCAAGACUUUGACUGUAAGUUAUUCUCUCUCUCUCUCAUUUCAUCUUGAAAAGGUACGUUCAUCAACCUUGUUGAUUAUUGUUAUCUCAAUCGCUAUCUUUAAUUGACGAAAUUAUUGCAUCGUUUCCUUUAGAAAAAUAAGUUAUUUUGAUGUGACCAUUUUUCGAAAAAGGCAGUUAUUUUUUUUAAAAGGCAUCUUUUCACUUUCCAUUGCAACGAUGGUAUCCCCUCCUUACGACUAUCUAUAUACAGUCAGUUUCUCCUCGCUUAACUCCAAAAACCCUAAAAAGCACCAAUCUUCCAUUCUUGUUUUCUUCUCUUGUUUAAUUUUCAAAAAAGUUGUCAUCUUUCUUGGGAAAGUCAAGCAAGGAAUCUUUCAAAGACUAAGAAAGAUGUCGUCUUCAAGAAAGUCUUCGAGGAUCGCAAGCAGGGGACCACGGAGAAUGAGUGAGGGGCCUACGCACUUCAAUCUCACUGAAGAAGAAGUGUCUCCAAAUCAGCAGCAGAGCCCACAACAUUCUCAGCAGCGUCAUUCUCCUCCAUCUAGUCCUCAAGAUGUUGAUCAUCAUCAAAAUGAAGAAAUCAUUGAAGAUGCAGAUCCUGUAAGAGUUCAAAGGCCCUCUUUUAUUUAUAAGUUGUAUCGUGCUUUAAAAGGGAUUGGUACUCCGUUGAACUAUGUGGAUGAUUUUCUUAAGGACAAAGGAUAUGGAAAUGAAUAUAUCUUUUUGCGAAAAAUGGAAAGUUUGGGAAUUGCUCAUAAGGGGGUGGCAGAAGAAACCCUUGCGAAUAUUCCAAGUGACCCUCGUGAUUGGGGAUUGAAUCCAGUGGAUGGAAAUGAUGAUGACAAAUUAUACAGCGAAUUUCAACCAAGAAUGGGAGUUGCGGCGGAAAAUUGAGAAAAAAGGGGAGAGUUGUUUAGAUCGAAGGAACAGAAGGAUCUAUACUCAAAAUUGCUGAAGCGUGGGGGUGAUAAACCCUAGGAGUGUGGAUUUUGACUUUUUGGAUGCUAUAGAUGUGAACUUAAGGGAAAAGUUCGGUCAUCUUCAACUUGAGAAAUUCUGCUCUGACACCACAGAGGCCUAUCCUCAACUAACUGCAUAUUUCUAUUCAAAUCUUAGUUUCUUGGAUGCGAAUAGAUUCUCCUUCAGUGUCAAAGAUCAAGACUUUAUUGUGGAUAUGGACAUGCUGGCAGAUGUGUUAGGAGUUGAGAGAGGAAGAUAUCAACGGAUCAAAGUUUCUAUUGCUUGUACUACUCUGGAACUUGUUAAGGAUAGGAGAACAGAGGGGAAGAUUUCCUAUUCUAGGAUGAGUGCAUUUAACAUCUUGCUGCACAAAAUUGUAAUCAAUUGCCUCAAACCGAAAUCAACUUCCAAGACUGAUGUCUCAAGUUCAGAGGCAAAGCUAAUGUAUGCUAUCAUCACUGGGAAAAGGUUUUCACUUCCUCACAUUGUUAUGUUCCACAUGUAUAGAGCUAUGAUGAAGGACAGAGGACAACUUCCUUAUCCAGGUCUUGUGACGAAGUUAUUCAGACAUCUGAACAUUCAGCCUCCGCAAAUUCUUUGUGUUCGAUCGUGCGAUCAUAUGGUGGUAGGACUGAAAAUGGUGACCAAGAUGUGACUGAAGGAACUAAGCAAGGCAUUGGAGAAAUUUAAGGAGAAGACUCCAGACAAAUCUCAUCAAUUCUCUUCUGCAGGAAAAAUGAAAGGGAAGGAGCCCAUGGACGCUCCAUCUAAGAGAAUAAGAGCUCUCAUCGUUGAGGAUGAAGAUGAUGAGGAUAACAUCACUAUCUCUGCAAUGGCUUUGAAGAAUCUCAGUCGAUCUGUUCCAGAGAAAGAGUCAGAACAACAGACAGAAGAAAGAUUAGAGAAAGAAGCAGAGGAAAAAGAAACGGAGGAAAGAGAAGAAGAAGAAGAAAGAGAUGCUGAGCAAGAGAGAGUUGAAAAAGAAGAAGAAUAGAAAAGAGAUCAAGAAGAAGGAGAACAUGAGGAGCACUCUCCACCUGAAGGCAUGAACACAGGGGGAGAACAAGAGAAAAGAGGAAUGACCUCAAAUCCUGCAACCAGUGCGGGAGUUAGUCGAUCCCCAGCAGAUCUAGAGGAGGACUUUGCCUCUCAGUUUCCUGAGGAAGUUCAUGAGGUUUCUUCGCCAAAUCUGCGUGAUUAUGCUGAUCUACCAUCGUCUGCAUUUACUCCAUCAGAUCGUGCUAAUGCCAGUACGCAGACCGACAAUUCAGCAGAUUUUCGCAGAGUGAUGGAUAUUCUCUUGGAAAUGCAAGGUUAGAAUAUGCAUUGGGAUGUGAAGUUAAGAACUUGCAUAAUGCAGAACAAGUCUCUGCAGGUUUAUUAAAUGAUCAAAUCCAAUCCAUUUCUCUCCAGAUUCAGGCUAAUGCUAAGGGUGAGUAUGUUGCUCAGCUGAAGGAAGACUUUAAAAGGCUGGAAGGCAUCGUUCAGUCGAUGGGAGAUUUUCAGCUUGUUCGUGUUCCCAAGAAUCCUUGACUUCAUUUUCAUCUCAACCUUUUUUAUGCUGACAAAAAGGGGGAGAGUUGUGAGACUUAAAAAACUUUAAACUUAAAUUUGUCGAACUUUGUCAAACUUUUGUCUUUGGUUUGUUUUGACUUGACUUGUGUUGUGUCUGGAUGUGGACUAAAUUUGGGAUUUGGAUUUGACUGCUACUAUUGAUAUCUUAUGGAUGGCUUUAUUGCAUACUGGACUAACCUAUUUUCUGUGGUUGCAGAUUCUAGUGUUAUUCAUUUAGCCAUUUAUCUAUAAGAUAUGCAUAUGUGUUUGAGAGAUGUUUUGCAGGUCAAAGUUUUCCAAAUAUGCAAGAAAGUUUUGUCACCAUCAAAAAGGGGGAGAUUGUUGGAGAAAUCCUCCUGAAGUGUUUUGAAGUUGACAAAACGUUUCCAGUAGUCUAGUCUGAAGGCUUGCAGACUCUGCUAUUUAAAGUCUGAAGACCUUCGGACAGCCAGACUCAAGACUCAAAGUCUAUACUCAUUGACAGUUUCUAAUCCGUUGAAAAAAGGCUAUCCAUAACUGGAUGUUUCAUUAAGGAUGUGACCUUAUCGACUGGAGAAGAUCUCUUAGCUGGAUAUGACAUAACGGAAUCAUUUAUUUUGAUCAUAAUUGAUUUGAAGAUUAAGGAUUCGAUGAUUAGCAAAGUAUACUUGGAAGGUUCUACUUAUGGAAACCGAGAUCCUGAUUGUAUGGGCGAACAGGAUUGAUGGGCUAUCGACAUGUUCCUUUAAUAGCUCGAAUGAUCUUCCUAAUUGAUUCUGUCCAACGGGUAGAUUGGAGGAAUUCCUUUGGUAAGUGCCAACGGGUAUGAUGGCAUGAAGGAGUAUAUAAGGAAGACGUUCCAGUUGUUCGAGAAGGUGCACGAUAGAAGAAUUCCAAAAUCUGAAGCUCCUUGUUCUCAGUCAAUUCAUUUGUUGAGAUAAAUCGUGUAAACAAAAGAGAGUCCAUAUUCGUGAGAAACCUUGAGGAAGUGUGGUAAAAUAUCUACACUGUGGAAUCAAGGAAAAUAUGUGCUGUAACCUCUCUUUUGUUCAUAGUAAAAUCCAGCCGAUGGGCUGUCAGUGCGGAAGAGUGAACGUAGGCUUGGAAUAAGCCGAACCACUAUAAAUCUUGUGUUCAUUUCUCUCUUCCCUAUCCUUUACUUUACUUUGAUCGUAUUUUUCUUUCUAUCAUUUGCCUAGAAUUGCUUCCGUAUCUCAAGAAUUUGUUUGUGCACCUAUUCACCCCCUCUAGGUGAUUAUACUAGCUAUCUCAGAAUAAGCAUAUAUUUGACAGAGCAAAACCUUCACAAAACUCCUCAAAUCUUCUUCCAUAGUAGACUUAUUCAACGAUGAAUUGCCAAAAUCAUACGUGCGAAAAAAUCACAAAUUUAAACUAGAUUGGGAUAAAACCUCCCGAAAUGAGAGAGAGAAACUCCUAAAUCUAGACUAGAUGAGAAAAGAAAAGCUCCUCAAGAUAGAAGGAAAGCUAGAAAAAGAAAACAGAGAAUCAAAUUAGCAAAUGAAAAAGGAAAAAAAGAGGGGAGGGAGAGAUCUAGUUGAAAACUCAUCUUCAUGGAGCUUGAAGAAUAAAAUUGUGUGAAAAUGGUAGGGAGAGGAGAGAAUCCUAGGAAGGAAAGAGAAACGUUGACAUCCAAAGAAGUAAAAGUUUAGCUAUUAUACAACUAUAAUGUGACUAACUCUUUGGCAGAGAGGUUAGGUAGAGGUAAGACUGGAUUUCGGUAUAAGAAAAGGAUGUGAUUGUCCUCGAUGUUUCUUCAAAUUCUACUACAUCAUCAUUCGUGAAGCACUAGAUUGUUGUUCCCAGGAUAGGUGUCAUCUCUGUGAGAAAUGAGAUUCAAGGAUUAGUCUUUUCUCGAGUAAUUCAAUGAGCUUAGUAUUUAAGUAGGGGCACAAUUGACGUUGGCCACAUAAUCACAGUCCUGCCAGAGAUAAACAACAUGGGGUUCUACUACUUCAGGCAGAAGCUGCAGGAGAAAUUAUCAUAAGUCUUCAAUCCAGCCGGACACUUUGGUAAAGGUGAGUUGACGAUGGUGAAUUUCAUUGGACUCAAUAGUUUUAGGUAUGGUAAACUUGGGAGCAUACCAGUGAAAAUGGACCAUAUAAACACAUCCGGAUACUAGGCAAACGAAGGUAGGAAUCCUUUCAGAUUGAAAGCCACAGACAUUGCCUUUAUGAUUAUGCCCGGAAGGGAUAUCCUCAAAGAGAGAAUGAAGGUGGUUAUCAAGAAUUGGAAGGACUUAAAUCAGACGCAAAAAAGCACAUUUGUUAUCGAGGAUGAAGUCGCACGUGAAGCAUCGAUACGUGAAGCAUCGAUACACGUGGCAGCUAACGAUCAGGUGAGAGCAGCACAACUGUUCCUAAUUUUCCAUCCCACUAGACCAGAGAGCGAGAGAGUGGAGAUAGUAUUGCAAUAUCACCAGAGGCAACUCCUCGUAUUGACCAUGAGAUCAUUAAGUUUUUGUGACGACUCAGAACCGGGCAGUACGGAGGAAUGGACUAAGAUCACCUCGGUAGUACGCGGGCGAGGUUAAAGACAUGUCUCCUGUCCCACAUCACUUAGAGGGGAGUCCCGGGCUAACUUAUAAGGCUUGGGUCCCUCUAACUAUACAUACGCGUUUUCUUAUUAUAGUAUGGGUUGUCUUGAGAAGAACAAAAUCAUGAUGACUUAGUGUCCAAAGCAGUAGCGUGUGGGCUACAACCAUAAGGGGUGGAGAAUGUGAUGACAUUUACAGUAAAGACCUGGGUCCUUAGACCUCCUUAGAGGUGGUAUCAGAGCCGACUCCUACAGCGUGUGGGCUACAACCAUAAGGGGUGGAGAAUGUGAUGACGUCCUUAGAGGUGGUAUCAAAGCCUACUCCUGCAUCGUGUGGGCUACACUCCUGCAGCGUGUGGGCUACAACCAUAAGGGGUGGAGAAUGUGAUGACCCAGACCCGAGGCAGUACGGAGGGUACGCAAGCGAGGGUAAGAGCAUGUCUCCUGUCCCAUAUCGCUUAGGGGUGAGUCAUGGGCUAGCUUAUAAGGCUUGGUCCCUCUAACUGUAUAUACGCGUUUUGGGAGUAGUAUGGGCUGCCCUAAGAAGAACAAAACCGUGAGGACUUAGUGUCCAAAGUGGAUAAUAUGUGUACAAUGGAGACCCAGGUCCUUACAGUUGCAUUUAGGUCUCCUCUAUUAUAUGUUAUAUCCAAAACAGUUAUGUACUUAAAUUAAAUAAUUUUGAUGAAUGAUAUGAUUUAAAUUUCCCAUUGAAAUUAUUAUUUUAUAUCUAGACAUUGUAAUCAUUAAAAGUAGAAUAAAAGAACUAGUAUUUUGAAAUUAUUUUUUGUGUCACAGUAUAUGAAAGAAUAACAAAAUUUAGUCAGAGUAAAACUUCAUUCCAUGGCGAACCGCAAUCAAUACAUGAGUAAUAGAUAAAUCAACAUCACACCUCACAAUAUAUUUAUUCUUCAACCACGACCUCUCCAGGACCAGCCGUUCUUUAUUGAAAUUCUACAAUUGCAUAAACACAAUCAAAUAUCACUAGCAAACAGAACCAGUCGCAUGCUUCAAUCACUGCCAACGCGGAAGCGGCAUGGCGAAGAACUUCAUCAAGCCAUCCGAGCAGUCCUUGUCGUUAGAGGAAGUGAAGUAGUAGAGCCUCCAUUGGUUCAGCACAACCUCAAACCCUUCUCCAGCGCCAUUUGGUGCACCAGCGAGAAGCUUCGCACCCCCGAAGUCGCACUUGAGGUAGCUAUACAGGUUGGGCAGCAAGUACACGUUGUGGGGUGCAUCAAACUUGAACACUAACCAAGAAAACAAAAAUAGUUAAAGCAUAUAGGUUAUUCACUUUUCGGAUCAUAGUGGUAUCAACAUCAGUUCUCGAAGAAAGGAAUCUUGAAAGGAUUCUUGAUUUCGUACCCAAUCCACAAACGAUGUCACCUUCCCUCCUAGAUCCUGUGUUUAUAUUUUAUUAUCUCUCACUUAAAGUAACCUUGAGGAUCACACUCACCGUCACGCUGUGUAGCCUUAAUCAACGCACAUGGCUGAGUUGAUUAUGCACUUGCUCAUGAGAUUUUAUUCGAGUCAAAGGUCCUAAUAUCCUAUACCAUUGGCUCUCUAACUAGAUAAUCGGCAUAUAUUGGAACCACUAGUGACUACUUGUCACGUCUUUCCCUGAACGAUGAUCAAUUUUUUCAGUAAAACUUUCUCAGCCAUGGGCAUUCCUCUAUGCAAACUUCAGCAUCAUCCGAGGAAGUAAAAC
Molecule: long non-coding RNA, 15443 nt
Filed under: Eucalyptus grandis
Lineage: Eukaryota; Viridiplantae; Streptophyta; Magnoliopsida; Myrtales; Myrtaceae
Description: long non-coding RNA (EGRA_LNC003755)
Source: RNAcentral